Molecule: transfer RNA, 77 nt
Filed under: Mycobacterium persicum
Lineage: Bacteria; Bacillati; Actinomycetota; Actinomycetes; Mycobacteriales; Mycobacteriaceae
Description: tRNA-Pro
Source: RNAcentral
ACCGGCGGCUGCCGUGGUGGGACGGGCCGGUUCAGGGCGCCGGCGGCGCCCGUUCGGUCGCCGCCGGCGCGCUGGUA